This is a non-coding RNA of Lolium perenne, 609 nucleotides long. NCBI's taxonomy places the organism in Eukaryota, Viridiplantae, Streptophyta, Magnoliopsida, Poales, Poaceae. The record is from RefSeq and is a predicted model, not a curated record.
GGCGCGUCAUCAGGAAAUUGCAUCGCUCCCACGUCACCUUAUCUUUUCACGGCUUCUCUCAUCCACAUAAUUCUCUCUCUCAGUUUACACACGAAGGAGCACAUCGGAGAGAGCCAGAGCUCCGGAGCGGAGAGGCGUCGAGCGCCGCCUCAGGAGCGCAGGAGGGGGCACCUCGUAGGGGCUCUGCCAAUUCGCCGCCGACGAGAGGCGCGUGGACAAGGCUCACCGUGGUGAGGGCUUCAUCAGGCUGCCGCUGACGAGCGAGAGGAGGUGGCGCGUCGAGGUGAAGGCUCCGCCGCCGCCGCCGAGCUUGAGGAUGAGCUGCGAGCUCUACGGAGGGAGGGCUCCGCCAAGCCGUCGUAGACGGGCGCGAGCCAAGCCACCGCUGACAAGCCCGAUAAGGAAGCGGACGAGCACGCGCGCAGCGGCGAGGAGAGCACCUACGACUAGCUAGCACGACAUCAAAGGAGGCCGAUGUGCUGCCGUCGCGGUUGUUUCCCCUCUCUGGCUCUCCCCCUGAAUUUCAAUUUGUGUUGCUGUUCAUUUUAUGAAUUUUGCAUUGUGAAAUUGGUAACUAGAAGCUACUAUGAACACAGUUAGGUAAUUUAA